UCGACAGUCACCUUUGGUUUAUUUUCUUGUAUAAUACUACUUCUUGCACAUGUAGACCAUAAUUAUUUCUAGUUUAUAGGUUGUCACAUUCAUUAUUCCGCAUCCAUUUUCAUAGAAAAGGCAAAACAUCGAAUUCGCUCCUUGUCGCUUCCAUUUUGAGUUUUUGACAACCUUCAGAACACUUGACAUCACGUUCGCAAUACAGAUUUCAGUAAUGUUGACGCAUG
This is a non-coding RNA of Paramuricea clavata, 227 nucleotides long. NCBI's taxonomy places the organism in Eukaryota, Metazoa, Cnidaria, Anthozoa, Malacalcyonacea, Plexauridae. The record is from the annotation of a GenBank genome assembly.